RNAcentral lists this ribosomal RNA (250 nucleotides) under uncultured prokaryote. Its description in RNAcentral is "partial 16S ribosomal RNA". It matches the Rfam family "Bacterial small subunit ribosomal RNA", at positions 524 to 773 of the family's 1533-position model. The record is from RNAcentral.
UACGUGUGGAGCAAGCGUUAUCCGGAUUUACUGGGUGUAAAGGGAGCGUAGGCGGCAGAGCAAGUCUGAAGUGAAAUCCCCGGGCUCAACUCGGGAACUGCUUUGGAAACUGCUUUGCUUGAGUGCCGGAGAGGUAAGUGGAAUUCCUAGUGUAGCGGUGAAAUACGUAGAUAUUAGGAGGAACACCAGCGGCGAAGGCGGCUUACUGGACGAUUACUGACGCUGAGGCUCGAAAGCGUGGGGAGCAAAC